GUUCCCCAACCCAGUCCUCAUGGACCACCAACAGUCUAGAUUAUAUCAGCAUCUCCACUGGAAUAAAACAGGGAAAUACAUAAAUCCUGGGCUGUUGGUGGUCCACGAGGAAUGGGUUGGGGAA
Molecule: microRNA precursor, 124 nt
Filed under: Pelobates cultripes (western spadefoot toad)
Lineage: Eukaryota; Metazoa; Chordata; Amphibia; Anura; Pelobatidae
Source: RNAcentral